UUUAACGGCUGCGGUAUUUUGACCGUGCAAAGGUAGCGCAAUCACUUGUCUUUUAAAUAAAGACCUGUAUGAAUGGCAUGACGAGGGCUAAGCUGUCUCCUCUCCCCAGUCAAUGAAAUUGAUCUCCCCGUGAAGAAGCGGGGAUACAACUAUAAGACGAGAAGACCCUGUGGAGCUUCAAACACUAGAGGAGGUCAUGUCAAGCCCCCCCCCCCGAGGGGUGAAACAAAAUGAACACUCCCCUAAUGUUUUUGGUUGGGGGACCGCGGGGAAUUGAAAAACCCCCACGUGGAACGGGAACACCCCUCCUACAACUAAGAGUCACCACUCUAAGUAACGGAACAUCCGACCAGCAAUGAUCCGGCCUAGCCGAUCCAACGGACCGAGUUACUCCAGGGAUAACAGCGCAAUCCCCUUUCAGAGACCUUAUCGCCAAGGGGGUUUACGACCUCGAUGUUGGAUCAGGACAUCCUAAUGGUG
RNAcentral lists this ribosomal RNA (480 nucleotides) under Dibranchus atlanticus (Atlantic batfish). RNAcentral describes it as "partial 16S ribosomal RNA". It matches the Rfam family "Bacterial large subunit ribosomal RNA", at positions 1923 to 2555 of the family's 2925-position model. The record is from RNAcentral. Lineage: Eukaryota; Metazoa; Chordata; Actinopteri; Lophiiformes; Ogcocephalidae.